AAGUAAGUAUAAGUGUGGUAUUAGGUAGAAGUGAAUACCAAUUACCAACCUAUUUAUAAUUUAUUUUAAAUUGAUGUAAAAUCCCUGAUUCUUAUUAUUUGAUUAACGAAAAACAAACAUCUUAGUUUUGUUUCUAAACAAGUGUUUAUAUCACUCACAGUUGUUUGCAUAUUAGCAAAGAUAUCAUGGAAAUAACUUGCUAACGCAAAUUCUUCGUUCAUAACUAAAAGCGUAAACAAACGAUCAACGCUUUUAACACGUUUUCCUUCCGAAGACGUAAAUAAAAUUAACCUGAGUCUAAACUUAGCAAGAACUCUCGAAAGUUAAUAAUCUCACGCAGAAUCGGAUAAAAACCACAUCAAUAACAAUGUGACAUCAAUUUUCAACGCAGACCUAAGUAUUGAAACAAAAAAUAAUGACGUCCGUACUCCGUAGACUUGUUGAACUGCGUGUACACCACAUGUGAGUAUACUCGUAUAUAAGGAGUGGGAGGCAUCGGCGAUCAUCAGAUUGUUGUGAUAAUUCAAAGCGAUCGCACGCACGGUUAACAAAUAAAUAAGUUAUUAUCAAUAGUGAAGAUGUAUUCAAAUCCAUUUGAAAGGAAACACUCGGCGUUGAGGCAAGCCUUAGACAGGCUUAUUAAAGGAGAGACGAGACUGAGCUUUAGAAAGAAAAGCAACCUUUCGAAGAGAGUAAGCAGCGAUUUAUCCAUGUCUUCAUCAAGCAGUAACGAGAGCGUCCAUAAAUUCUUCGGAAAAAGAUGAAGUUGUGGAUGGUUCAGUGUUUGUGCUAAUUUGCUGUGGCCCACUCAAUAAAAAGGUCGAGAGGGGUCAUUUAACUGGUUUGGUGACGUCAAUGCUACUACAUCUAACCAUACUGAUGUGAUUAGUCGGCAUAGGUUUAGUUGGUAUAUUAUUAUCAUAACGCAAUGUCAUAGUAUGCUAAGAAGGUGCUCAGAUUGUUAUCAUAUAUUUAUCAAAUAAAUUAAUACUUUGAUAAA
Molecule: long non-coding RNA, 1000 nt
Organism: Maniola jurtina (meadow brown)
Lineage: Eukaryota; Metazoa; Arthropoda; Insecta; Lepidoptera; Nymphalidae
Exons: 2
Source: RefSeq, a predicted model, not a curated record